GACGAACGCUGGCGGCGUGCUUAACACAUGCAAAUCGAACGGAAAGGCCCUGCUUUUGUGGGGUGCUCGAGUGGCGAACGGGUGAGUAACACGUGAGUAACCUGCCCUUGACUUUGGUAUAACUUCAGGAAACUGGGGCUAAUACCGGAUAGGAGCUCCUGCUGCAUGGUGGGGGUUGGAAAGUUUCGGCGGUUGGGGAUGGACUCGCGGCUUAUCAGCUUGUUGGUGGGGUAGUGGCUUACCAAGGCUUUGACGGGUAGCCGGCCUGAGAGGGUGACCGGCCACAUUGGGACUGAGAUACGGCCCAGACUCCUACGGGAGGCAGCAGUGGGGAAUAUUGCACAAUGGGCGGAAGCCUGAUGCAGCAACGCCGCGUGCGGGAUGACGGCCUUCGGGUUGUAAACCGCUUUCGCCUGUGACGAAGCGUGAGUGACGGUAAUGGGUAAAGAAGCACCGGCUAACUACGUG
RNAcentral lists this ribosomal RNA (468 nucleotides) under uncultured bacterium. RNAcentral describes it as "partial 16S ribosomal RNA". It matches the Rfam family "Bacterial small subunit ribosomal RNA", at positions 28 to 507 of the family's 1533-position model. The record is from RNAcentral.